This is a long non-coding RNA of Canis lupus familiaris (dog), 943 nucleotides long. RefSeq lists it as uncharacterized. Lineage: Eukaryota; Metazoa; Chordata; Mammalia; Carnivora; Canidae. The transcript is spliced from 6 exons. The record is from RefSeq and is a predicted model, not a curated record.
AAAAAAACACUCCCAUCAUCUAUUGUAACCAGAAGCAAAAAGAAGAAGAAAACCAUUAAACAACAGGAGAGUGAGUUGUUUGGUCACUACAAAUCUUCACUCCGUCUCGGGACACAACUCCAUUGCAUUCCAUUUACAAAAUGAAUUACGUGGGACCAAGUUGAUAUCUGCAGCAUGAAGAGUAAUCAUUUGUUGGCUUGAGAAGGCACUGCAUCUGGCAGAAGCUAUGUUCCUGUGAAAUGAUUGACCAAGGCUAAAAAAUAGAAGAUGGAAAAUGGAAGAUGUGUGAAAUCAAUCAGUCAGGGACAUGAGAUCUUGUAGGAAUUGUAAUUAGUUCAUGAAUAGCUGUCAUGAAGCCCUCUUCAUAAUUUGGAGAACAGUGCACAAAAGUAAAUGGAUACAGGAAGCCCUCUUUCUCAUGGCCAUAAGUAAUCUGACCUCUAAACUGAAUCAGUAGAAGAGCAAAGAAGGCCUAUCAGACUCAUCGUAACAGUCAACACGACACAUCCUGGGACAUAACAUGUGAGGAAGUCACCCUGGAACUCCAGGAACAGUAGAGAGGGGACAGCUCCAGGCCAUGAGAACUGGGAAGCCCAUAAUGAGGGCCAGCAGGGUUCCAAGCAAGAUUUGGCACGGCUGGGUCUGCCCCUGCCUCCCAGACUGGCAGGAAGAAGCACGUUCUCCUCUCUUUCUCCCCAAGAACUCGCCUUUGUGGGGAGUCAGGUAGGCAGUAGGUUCCUCUAAGGUAGAGUCUUCAAGGCUGGGACCCUCCUGACAAGGCCACUCUAAACCUAUACAGAGAGAAAGAGGGAGGUCUGGAGAAUGUACUGGAAGCAGACUGAGGGCUGUGCAGAUAGUCGCUAUCAAAAAAUUCAAGGAAGUUAGGCUUAAGGUACGUAUUAGAAAAACCAUAGGCUACCCCUUCAUAUUUCUAGCUUCUGGU